GACGAACGCUGGCGGCGUGCCUAACACAUGCCAGUCGAACGGAAAGGCCCUGCUUUUGUGGGGUGCUCGAGUGGCGAACGGGUGAGUAACACGUGAGUAACCUGCCCUUGACUUUGGGAUAACUUCAGGAAACUGGGGCUAAUACCGGAUAGGAGCUCCUGCUGCAUGGUGGGGGUUGGAAAGUUUCGGCGGUUGGGGAUGGACUCGCGGCUUAUCAGCUUGUUGGUGGGGUAGUGGCUUACCAAGGCUUUGACGGGUAGCCGGCCUGAGAGGGUGACCGGCCACAUUGGGACUGAGAUACGGCCCAGACUCCUACGGGAGGCAGCAGUGGGGAAUAUUGCACAAUGGGCGGAAGCCUGAUGCAGCAACGCCGCGUGCGGGAUGACGGCCUUCGGGUUGUAAACCGCUUUCGCCUGUGACGAAGCGUGAGUGACGGUAAUGGGUAAAGAAGCACCGGCUAACUACGU
This 467-nucleotide ribosomal RNA is filed under the name uncultured bacterium. Its description in RNAcentral is "partial 16S ribosomal RNA". It matches the Rfam family "Bacterial small subunit ribosomal RNA", at positions 28 to 506 of the family's 1533-position model. The record is from RNAcentral.